Tyto alba (common barn owl) is the source of this 1202-nucleotide long non-coding RNA. RefSeq lists it as uncharacterized. The record is from RefSeq and is a predicted model, not a curated record. The transcript is spliced from 2 exons. NCBI's taxonomy places the organism in Eukaryota, Metazoa, Chordata, Aves, Strigiformes, Tytonidae.
CCGGCUCAGGGGGCCCCGGCUGCUGCUGCAUCCCCCCCCCCCACAGCCCCGCCGCCUCCCCGCCCCCGCUCAGCCCCUGCUGCCACCGCCCGGCCCCGCCGCCGCCUCCAUUUCCUCUCGCCGCGGGCAGGCCUCGGCCUCGGCCGCGCCCCCAGCCCCGCCGCCGGGAAGGAGAGGAAGACUGGCAUGGUGAGCUAUGCCGAAGGCUGACCAAGGAAGCCCAAGGACUCUGUCAUCGGUACGGAUGCUGUGGCCAACCUAUGGAGAACAAGCUAAUGCAAACCCAUUAACAACCGUGUGUUCAGUGCUACGCCGAUGGCUGCAAGCCACCAGUGAAUCAGCAGAAACUUAGCUCUCACUAGGAACCAGUGGCCAAAAACCAGAAAUCAGGAACCCAAGCUCUCUGCCUGACUCUGUACCAGCACACUGGGACACCGCAACCUUGUGCCUCCCUUCCUCUGCUGGUGAAGUAGCAACGGUGACAGUGAGAGUUACCUCAUUGGCAAAGCACAGUGGAAAUCCGUGGCUGUUGGCAGUUUGAAUAUUGCACAGGCUAGACAGUUGCUUCUUCAUGCUUCAGAGUGGUGACUACAAUUGCGGCCACGCACAGAUUUAUUAAUAAACAGUCUCCAGCUGUGGAACCAAUUCCUUCCAGAUUAUCAGGCUCAGCCCAAGUAUUUUAACCUUUCAAGUAUGUAGUUACUGACAUGUAUAAUAAUUAAUCCAGGAUAAAAGGCACCAAUUUUCCAAACUAAGUACAGUUAAUAAGCUUUGUUGUCAGUAAUUGGGCCUGAAAGUGUCUGAUGAAGUUGAAGAAUGUGUUGCAUAGGCAACUGUACAGUUGGAUUAUACAGUUGCUAGAUCAGGCCAACAGGAUUCUCGCUACCAAUAAUGCUAAACUGUAGUGGGAUUUCGUGCUUUAAAUAGGCAGCAAAAUCAAUGUUUGAGUCUGGGUUCUUUUUAAUAUGAGAUAAUUUUUACACUGCCAGAGCCAUAUAAAGCACAACUGUGCUGGUGAAAAGUCACCCUCUUCUAUCUGGGAUGUUCUAGAGUGACUGCGGCUUCCUCAGAGAUACGUUGCUGAAACCAAUGGAUGUGAUGCACCCAUUUUUCUUUAAGGACCUGGGCCUAAACUGGAAAAUUUCAUCUUAAUAACACAUUCAAUGUUUAUGCCAUUAAAGGAGUUUUUUAUGUCCUAGUAA